Molecule: long non-coding RNA, 212 nt
Filed under: Elaeis guineensis (African oil palm)
Lineage: Eukaryota; Viridiplantae; Streptophyta; Magnoliopsida; Arecales; Arecaceae
Description: long non-coding RNA (EGUI_LNC053588)
Source: RNAcentral
UGGUGUUACAGCUGUUCGUAGUGAGGCUGCUGGAGUUUGGCUAUACAAACAUUGACUUAAUGAGUUCUUGUAGUGGAUGUUAGCGACAGUUGGUUUACUGUAAGAGUAGGGUGUGCACCUAGAUAGGAUCUAUCAAUCCUAGCAGAAGAGAGUAGUCCUAUGAGAUUUAAGAAGCUGAGUCUUUAAGUCUAUGGCCAUAGCAGUAUGAUUAA